CAGCCGCCGCGGUAAUACGUAGGUGGCAAGCGUUGUCCGGAAUUAUUGGGCGUAAAGGGCUCGCAGGCGGUUUCUUAAGUCUGAUGUGAAAGCCCCCGGCUCAACCGGGGAGGGUCAUUGGAAACUGGGAAACUUGAGUGCAGAAGAGGAGAGUGGAAUUCCACGUGUAGCGGUGAAAUGCGUAGAGAUGUGGAGGAACACCAGUGGCGAAGGCGACUCUCUAGUCUGUAACUGACGCUGAGGAGCGAAAGCGUGGGGAGCGAACAGGAUUAGAUACCCGCGUAGUCCCUGUCUCUUAUAC
Molecule: ribosomal RNA, 301 nt
Filed under: uncultured bacterium
Lineage: Bacteria
Description: partial 16S ribosomal RNA
Rfam family: Bacterial small subunit ribosomal RNA
Source: RNAcentral